This 425-nucleotide long non-coding RNA is filed under the name Heterocephalus glaber (naked mole-rat). RNAcentral describes it as "lncRNA (ENSHGLG00000045638.1)". The record is from RNAcentral. Lineage: Eukaryota; Metazoa; Chordata; Mammalia; Rodentia; Bathyergidae.
GGAGCACGUGCUGAAUGUUUACCAGUUGAUCUGAGUUCAGUGUUGGGAACUUUCUGUGCUUUCUUCCAAGCAGUGCCAGGGUUCAUUAUCUAAAUUCAAGAAGGCAUGACAUAGUCAUGGGGAUCAUCUUGGACCUGAAAGAAAGAAGCCUGAACAUGAAAGGAAGGAGGUCUUUGAGGAAACUGUGCCAACUACCCCAGGGUCAUUUCUGUCAUUUGCCUUCCCUGGAAAGGUUGGAAUUGUACCUGGAAGGAGCACUGGGGAAGCAACAUGAGCUCUGCUUUGUCACCCUUCAAAAAAAUCGCUUACCUGGGUUCAGAACCUUCUGCCCUGCAGUCUGGCAGCCCCCUCAUCCCCAGCCCCCUGCAUGUAGACAUCCACAGCUUUCCUUUUCUUCCUGUCUCCUCUGUCCUCUGACUUCAAGA